RNAcentral lists this ribosomal RNA (1153 nucleotides) under Subglobosporium tectonae. RNAcentral's name for it is "eukaryotic LSU rRNA". It matches the Rfam family "Eukaryotic large subunit ribosomal RNA", at positions 1 to 1424 of the family's 3401-position model. The record is from RNAcentral. Lineage: Eukaryota; Fungi; Ascomycota; Dothideomycetes; Pleosporales.
GCCUCAGUAACGGCGAGUGAAGCGGCAAUAGCUCAAAUUUGAAAUCUGGCGCCCUCGCGGGUGCCCGAGUUGUAAUUUGCAGAGGGCGCUUUGGCGUCGGCUGCGGCCUAAGUCCCUUGGAACAGGGCGUCAUGGAGGGUAAGAAUCCCGUAUGUGGCCGCCAGCCUUCGCCGCGUAAAGCCCUUCGACGAGUCGAGUUGUUUGGGAAUGCAGCUCUAAAUGGGAGGUAAAUUCCUUCUAAAGCUAAAUACCGGCCAGAGACCGAUAGCGCACAAGUAGAGUGAUCGAAAGAUGAAAAGCACUUUGGAAAGAGAGUCAAAAAGCACGUGAAAUUGUUGAAAGGGAAGCGCUUGCAGCCAGACGUGCCCGCAGUCGCUCAUCUGGGCUCCGGCCCGGUGCACUCCUCUGCGGGCAGGCCAGCAUCAGUUUCGGCGGUCGGAUAAAGGCGUCUGUCACGUACCAUCCCCCGGGAUGGCCUUAUAGGGGGCGCGCAAUACGACCAGCCGGGACUGAGGUUCCGCGCAUCUGCUAGGAUGCUGGCGUAAUGGUGGCAAGCGGCCCGUCUUGAAACACGGACCAAGGAGUCUAACAUCUAUGCGAGUGUUUGGGCGUCAAGCCCCGGCGCGCAAUGAAAGUGAACGGAGGUGGGAGCCCUCGGGCGCACCAUCGACCGAUCCUGAUGUCUUCGGAUGGAUUUGAGUAAGAGCAUAGCUGUUGGGACCCGAAAGAUGGUGAACUAUGCUUGAAUAGGGUGAAGCCAGAGGAAACUCUGGUGGAAGCUCGCAGCGGUUCUGACGUGCAAAUCGAUCGUCAAAUUUGGGCAUAGGGGCGAAAGACUAAUCGAACCAUGAAGCCUACUAGGUGGUUAAGAGGGCCCUCGAAGAGGGGGCUCUAGUCCCCUGCGCUGCAGGGGGCAACGCCGUCAAAUUGCGGGGACGCCCACGGAUCUCAGCGCACCGCGGCUCCGUCGAAAGGCGGAGUGCAGCACCGGCCGCAAUGGGCCGGGGAGGGUAACAGCCGCUGAGAAUGGGGUAAUCCGCAGCUAAGCCCUAAGGCCGCCGGGCGGCUACGGGCAGAGUUCACAGACUAGAUGUCGGCGGGUGGCGCCGGAGGGCGCCGCUCAAGAUAUAGUCGAAACCCAUCACGAGAGCGA